AGACCCGAAACCCGGUGAUCUAGCCAUGGGCAGGUUGAAGGUUGGGUAACACUAACUGGAGGACCGAACCGACUAAUGUUGAAAAAUUAGCGGAUGACCUGUGGCUGGGGGUGAAAGGCCAAUCAAACCGGGAGAUAGCUGGUUCUCCCCGAAAGCUAUUUAGGUAGCGCCUCGUGAAUUCAUCUCCGGGGGUAGAGCACUGUUUCGGCUAGGGGGCCAUCCCGGCUUACCAACCCGAUGCAAACUGCGAAUACCGGAGAAUGUUAUCACGGGAGACACACGGCGGGUGCUAACGUCCGUCGUGAAGAGGGAAACAACCCAGACCGCCAGCUAAGGUCCCAAAGUCAUGGUUAAGUGGGAAACGAUGUGGGAAGGCCCAGACAGCCAGGAUGUUGGCUUAGAAGCAGCCAUCAUUUAAAGAAAGCGUAAUAGCUCACUGGUCGAGUCGGCCUGCGCGGAAGAUGUAACGGGGCUAAACCAUGCACCGAAGCUGCGGCAGCGACGUUUAUGCGUUGUUGGGUAGGGGAGCGUUCUGUAAGCCUGCGAAGGUGGCCUGUGAGGGUUGCUGGAGGUAUCAGAAGUGCGAAUGCUGACAUAAGUAACGAUAAAGCGGGUGAAAAGCCCGCUCGCCGGAAGACCAAGGGUUCCUGUCCAACGUUAAUCGGGGCAGGGUGAGUCGACCCCUAAGGCGAGGCCGAAAGGCGUAGUCGAUGGGAAACGGGUUAAUAUUCCCGUACUUGGUGUUACUG
This 749-nucleotide ribosomal RNA is filed under the name Salmonella enterica subsp. enterica serovar Bovismorbificans. RNAcentral's name for it is "partial 23S ribosomal RNA". It matches the Rfam family "Bacterial large subunit ribosomal RNA", at positions 711 to 1456 of the family's 2925-position model. Lineage: Bacteria; Pseudomonadati; Pseudomonadota; Gammaproteobacteria; Enterobacterales; Enterobacteriaceae. The record is from RNAcentral.